This is a long non-coding RNA of Patella vulgata (common limpet), 717 nucleotides long. RefSeq lists it as uncharacterized. NCBI's taxonomy places the organism in Eukaryota, Metazoa, Mollusca, Gastropoda, Patellidae. The record is from RefSeq and is a predicted model, not a curated record. The transcript is spliced from 4 exons.
UUGGUCACAUGUUGAAUUAAUUGCACGCACCGGGCGGGAAUCUUAACGGAAGGUCGUCUGCUGAUCCUUUGUUUGGAAAGAGAAGCCAGCGAGGAAGGACUGUUCGUUAUUUUGUCACGAAAAGGAAUCUCACUAUAACAAUCAUCAUGCCUGGAACAAAGACCGACGUUGAAGUUGAAAGUACCGAAACAACUGAGACCACCGAAACUACCCCAACGGUGGCAAAAACAGUUGAAGAUGUCAAGGAAUUAAAAGAAGGGAAAAGUGAAACUAAAGAAGCAGAAAGUACAGAAGCCGAGGCAGAGGCAAAAGCAGAAUCUGCUACCACAGAGGAAACAGAAGCCACAGAAAAAUCAGAAAAUACAAAUCAAAAUGCUGCUACAGAAUCUAAAGAUGCUGACAGUAAAACAGAAACAACAGAAUCAACAACUGAAAAACGAUCAUCCGAGGAAGCAAAUGGAGAAGAUGAAAGUCCCACAAAAAAAGUGAAAUCAAACAACGGUGACACGACUGCAGAGGCUGAGAAAGCUGAUGCGUAGUUUAUUUAUUUUAUAUACAUAGAAACUUUAAAAAUUCAUAUCAUAGGGUUAUAAACUCACAACCUCAAAGUCAAGGGUCCUCAUUAUACCAUAUUGAAUCAAGUUGUAAAAUUUGUGUCGUCCGUUUCAUUAAUUACUAGUUGUUUUCUGUAUGUAAUAAAUCUUAUUAUGGACAUUA